This 127-nucleotide small RNA is filed under the name Marmota monax (woodchuck). Lineage: Eukaryota; Metazoa; Chordata; Mammalia; Rodentia; Sciuridae. The record is from RNAcentral.
GCUAGGUGUGGUGGUACACGCCUGUAAUCCCAGUGGCUUGGGAAGCUGAGGCAGGAGAAUUGCAAACUCAAAGUCAGCCUCAGCAGUUUAGUGAGGCCCUGAGCAAGUUAGCAAGACCCUGUCUCUA